This 484-nucleotide ribosomal RNA is filed under the name uncultured bacterium. Its description in RNAcentral is "partial 16S ribosomal RNA". It matches the Rfam family "Bacterial small subunit ribosomal RNA", at positions 30 to 507 of the family's 1533-position model. The record is from RNAcentral.
AUUGAACGCUGGCGGCAGGCCUAACACAUGCAAGUCGAGCGGAUGAAGGGAGCUUGCUCCUGGAUUCAGCGGCGGACGGGUGAGUAAUGCCUAGGAAUCUGCCUGGUAGUGGGGGAUAACGUCCGGAAACGGGCGCUAAUACCGCAUACGUCCUGAGGGAGAAAGUGGGGGAUCUUCGGACCUCACGCUAUCAGAUGAGCCUAGGUCGGAUUAGCUAGUUGGUGGGGUAAAGGCCUACCAAGGCGACGAUCCGUAACUGGUCUGUGAGGAUGAUCAGUCACACUGGAAGUGAGACACGGUCCAGACUCCUAAGGGAGGCAGCAGUGGGGAAUAUUGGACAAAAGGCGAAAGCCUGAUCCAGCCAUGCCGCGUGUGUGAAGAAGGUCUUCGGAUUGUAAAGCACUUUAAGUUGGGAGGAAGGGCAGUAAGUUAAUACCUUGCUGUUUUGACGUUACCAACAGAAUAAGCACCGGCUAACUUCGUG